RNAcentral lists this transfer RNA (89 nucleotides) under Bacteriovoracaceae bacterium. Its description in RNAcentral is "tRNA-Ser". It matches the Rfam family "tRNA". Rfam says of the family: Transfer RNA (tRNA) molecules are approximately 80 nucleotides in length. Their secondary structure includes four short double-helical elements and three loops (D, anti-codon, and T loops). RNAcentral also lists the same sequence under 1 other name. Lineage: Bacteria; Pseudomonadati; Bdellovibrionota; Bacteriovoracia; Bacteriovoracales; Bacteriovoracaceae. The record is from RNAcentral.
GGAGACGUGGGUGAGUGGCUGAAACCAGCGCCUUGCUAAGGCGUCGUGCGUUCUGCGUACCGCGAGUUCGAAUCUCGCCGUCUCCGCCA